RNAcentral lists this unclassified non-coding RNA (391 nucleotides) under soil metagenome. Its description in RNAcentral is "partial contains 5.8S ribosomal RNA, internal transcribed spacer 2, and large subunit ribosomal RNA". The stretch from base 1 to 122 matches the Rfam family "5.8S ribosomal RNA", at positions 35 to 154 of the family's 154-position model. The record is from RNAcentral.
GAUGAAGAACGUAGCGAAAUGCGAUACUUGGUGUGAAUUGCAGAAUCCCGUGAACCAUCGAGUCUUUGAACGCAAGUUGCGCCCGAAGCCAUUAGGCCGAGGGCACGCCUGCCUGGGCGUCACACGUCGUUGCCCCCCCAUCUACUCCUUCGGGAUUGCGGGGGGCGGAUGAUGGCCUCCCGUGCGCCUCGUCGCGCGGUUGGCAUAAAUGCCAAGUCCUCGGCGACGCACGCCACAACAAUCGGUGGUUGCGAAACCUCGGUUGCCCGUCGUGUGCGGUCGUCGCGCAUCGAGGGCUCGAAAAAAUUGCCGGGCUCCGGCUCGGCUUUCAACGCGACCCCAGGUCAGGCGGGGUUACCCGCUGAAUUUAAGCAUAUCAAUAAGCGGAGGA